AUGUCACUCUCCAGUCUGCUCUGGGGGUUCCUGGCCAUCGCCUUCUCUGGAUCUUGUGUGGCCCAAAAAGUUACUCAAGACCAGUCAGACAUAAUCAGCCAAGUGGGGCAGUCAGUCAUUUUUAACUGUCAGUAUGGAAUAGGUUGGUUCACAUACUACUACUCCAUUUAUUGGUACAAGCAGCUUCCCAGGGGACAGAUGACUCUCCUUAUUCAUCAAAAUUCAGAACACGGGAAUGCAGGUUAUGGCCGCUACUCUGUAAACUUCCAGAAAGCAUAUAAAUCCAUCAGCCUCACCAUUUCAGCGUUACAGCUGGAAGACUCAGCAAAGUACGUUUGUGCUCUUAGGGAGCUCUCAAGUAAAAGAACAGUUACAAAGGAAGUUCACAGUGCUUAA
Molecule: non-coding RNA, 396 nt
Organism: Bubalus bubalis (water buffalo)
Lineage: Eukaryota; Metazoa; Chordata; Mammalia; Artiodactyla; Bovidae
Source: the annotation of a RefSeq genome assembly